AUACGUAGGGAGCGAGCGUUGUCCGGAAUUACUGGGCGUAAAGGGCGCGUAGGCGGCGCUUCAAGUCGUCUGUCAAAUGGGAGGGCUUAACCCUUUUUCGCAGACGAAACUGGAGAGCUUGAGAAGCAGAGAGGCAAACAGAAUUCCUGGUGUAGCGGUGAAAUGCGUAGAUAUCAGGAAGAAUACCAGUGGCGAAGGCGGUUUGCUGGCUGCAUACUGACGCUGAAGCGCGAAAGCCAGGGGAGCAAACGGGAUUAGAUACCCCGGUAGUCCUGGCAGUAAGCGAUGUAUGCUGGGUGUGAGACUAGCGAUAGUUUCGUGCCGAAGUUAACGCGAUAAGCAUACCGCCUGGGGAGUACGGUCGCAAGAUUGAAACUCAAAUGAAUUGACGGGG
Molecule: ribosomal RNA, 394 nt
Filed under: uncultured bacterium
Lineage: Bacteria
Description: partial 16S ribosomal RNA
Rfam family: Bacterial small subunit ribosomal RNA
Source: RNAcentral